UACGUAGGGUGCAAGCGUUGUCCGGAAUUAUUGGGCGUAAAGAGCGCGUAGGCGGCCCGAUUAGUCCGCUGUGAAAGUCCAGGGCUCAACCCUGGAAUGCCGGUGGAUACUGUCGGGCUAGAGUCCGGAAGGGGCGAGUGGAAUUCCUGGUGUAGCGGUGAAAUGCGCAGAUAUCAGGAGGAACACCAGCGGCGAAGGCGGCGCUCUGGGCCGGAACUGACGCUGAGGAGCGAAAGCGUGGGUAGCAAACAGG
Molecule: ribosomal RNA, 253 nt
Filed under: uncultured bacterium
Lineage: Bacteria
Description: partial 16S ribosomal RNA
Rfam family: Bacterial small subunit ribosomal RNA
Source: RNAcentral